RNAcentral lists this ribosomal RNA (253 nucleotides) under uncultured bacterium. RNAcentral describes it as "partial 16S ribosomal RNA". It matches the Rfam family "Bacterial small subunit ribosomal RNA", at positions 524 to 776 of the family's 1533-position model. The record is from RNAcentral.
UACGUAGGGUGCGAGCGUUGUCCGGAAUUAUUGGGCGUAAAGGGCUCGUAGGCGGUUUGUCGCGUCGGGAGUGAAAACCUUGGGCUUAACUCAGGGCUUGCUUUCGAUACGGGCAGACUAGAGGUAUGCAGGGGAGAACGGAAUUCCUGGUGUAGCGGUGAAAUGCGCAGAUAUCAGGAGGAACACCGGUGGCGAAGGCGGGUCUCUGGGCAACAACUGACGCUGAGGAGCGAAAGCGUGGGGAGCGAACAGG